Long non-coding RNA from Papaver somniferum (opium poppy), 1853 nucleotides. RefSeq lists it as uncharacterized. NCBI's taxonomy places the organism in Eukaryota, Viridiplantae, Streptophyta, Magnoliopsida, Ranunculales, Papaveraceae. The transcript is spliced from 2 exons. The record is from RefSeq and is a predicted model, not a curated record.
CCAUUUAAACUUUAUUUCAUCAUUUUGCAAUAAUAUCCCCAAUUGAUGUUAUUGGACUUUAAUUAGGAGAGAACUCGCUUUAAUGUCUUUCUUCUUCUUCUCCUCCAUUCCAUGUGUAGGGCUUCAAAAUUGACAUAGUUUCCUCACCCUUCUCUUCUCGGGUAUAUGCAUUUUCUCCCACCAGCUAAGGUAAAAUAGAGAGAGUGCUUAAAAAAGGGUACAAAAAUUGUUAAGGUUCUCAUUUGGUUGAGUCUUUUUUUCAUAAAAGAGACAAGCCUCAGAAAUCAUUACAUAGACGAUCCGGAAUAGGAAUAGGAAUCGGAAUCGUUACAGAUUUUAAAAGAUUCAAAAGGUUCAAAAUACAAUCACCAAAGUUAACAGAUCUCCUCCAAUUCUUGACUAGAUUUCCUACCCAUACAAACCUUACAACCAAAUCAAAGUCCCGAAGGACAAAUCCACAUCAGGAGGCCAAGUUUGUUUUGUUUGAGACCAAACCAAACACACUUGCAUCAGUGCCAAAAGCAGAAAUGAAAUCAUAAGAUUCAGCCAGGGUUUUUUAACACCUUGUAAAACAAGGUAGAGUAAAGAAAAGUAAACAAGGUAACAUAAACUAAAACUAAAUCUACAGUAGCAGGGGUCUUCUAAAUCGGUUGUAUGAGGUCUGAUGAAGUCUGAAUCGGUCUGAAUCGGCAUAGGAGUCUUGGUAACCAUUGUUGUUGCAGAGAUUGUUGUUGGAGAUCUUGAAGUCAAAUCUGUUCUUGAUUCCUUAACUAGAGGUGAAGUUGUUUUCCUUACUAUUGCAGGUGAUAUUUCUCCAGAGAAAAACAUGAUGUUACCCACUUCAAAAAAUUGAAGAAAACCAACAAAACCCAAAUUAAGAUGCAGAAAACAACGUAAGUGAAAUCAAACUAAAACAAAGAACUAAGAAAAGCUACAUCCUUUUUUUAGAUCUAGCAGGAAAACUAAGAACCAAAAAAACUUUAAGAAGUGAAAGAUAAAGAGUUUGUAAGGGAGAUCUUGAGAUGGACUGCUCCGAUCUGCUCCAUGGAACAAAUCGGAGCAGGUGGCUUUUAGGGUUUUGAUGGGUCUGUUAUCAGAGGAGGAGGAGGAGGAGAAGAGGAAAGGAAAGAGGAAACAGAAAAGUCCAUUUGGUUGAGUCUUAUUGUUGCCUUUAUGCUAAUAUCUUUUGAAAUUUCAGUUGUUAAAGACUUGGAUGAAAAAACACGGUUUGAAUUGCAUAACAGAUUCCAGGGGCUGGGAGAAGACGAGGAAGUGGGUACAUCACAGUUACAAAUGGAAGAUUCAGAAAUUAGUUACACUAAACCGUCGUCGUCGGAGCCAAAUAUCGGAUCAAUUAGAAAUUUGAGCUUGAAAUCUGAAGCUACGGGCUUAUUUCCUAAUGGAACUCUAAAUACAAACAAGAAGAUCUUUCCGAAAAAUUUCACUGAUCCUCAUAAGAUUUCAGCUCCUAGUCUCAAGGAGUUAGGUUCUCUUAUGGGAUUUGGCUUCCCUUCUUCGAAGACAAAUUGUCAUCAAAUUUUUAGCGAACUUCAGAAAAAUCACGAAACUUUAAUUAUCGAGGAUGAGGAGGACAUUUGAUAGCAUCAGAUGAUUUGUUUGGUUGUAACCUUGUUUUUAAAAGCGUUGUCUCUAGGUUCGUCAAGUUGAUUUUCUCUUAUUGACCUUCUUACGUGCCCAGAGAUCUUCGAAUUUCUUUUCCUUUGUGCUUUCUUUGUUCUUUGGGCAAUUUCUGCCCACCUUCAGCUGUAAUAGCCUUCACGCGACUUGUGUGCUUUCUAUUAAUUUUACUUUUGCCGACCAAAAGAAAAAAGGUUGGGUUAUUUAUUUGUUAA